UGAAACACAGUUGGAGUCACGAAUUCCAUCUUCUGGAAUUUCUUUCUAUACACAGGAUCCCACGCUUUCGGCAAUAUAUUCUUCUUCUGGACUUGUUCGAUCUGUUGUUCCUAUUGUCACACAGGUAUGUUUUUGUGUGUAUAAUUCCUGUUUGCAAAGGGGCAAAGGUGAAAUUAGAGAUUUUGAGGUCAAACAAGGAAGAGAAAGAGAGUAAGUGGAGAUCAGAUGGAAAAUUAGAGGCCAGAUGAAAUUGGACAGAACAGGAAUAGGGUAAUUAAGAGAUAGAGAAACAGAGAGAACAAGGAGAGAGAACCAAGUUCAAUACUCCAAACUCUCAGUAAUUCUUAGCCUAAACCUGGUUGAAAGAUAAUCCAUCAAAGUAUCUAUAGGCACAAGCCAGAAAAUCUGAAUAACAUAAACUUAAAUGUCAAAUAAAUCUAUAAGCAGUAAUAAAUAACCCCAAGGUGAUUCUCCAUUAUUUUAAAUGUUAUGUUAAUAGAAAAAGAUGAGAGCAAUAUUACUUUGAGCAUCUUUUUGGUUUCAUUCAUGCCCUACUUGGUCUGAAGGCAAUGCAAUUUGAGUUGCAGGCUUGAAUGUAGAAAAUUUUCUCUGUUAUGCAUAUUCAUCAUUAUGUACUUUCAGGGUUAUCUACACCUAGAGUUUAGUGUCUUCAUUCGAUCUAUAUGUACACAUAUUGCCUUAUGUAUUAUCAGUUCGCUUGAUGUAUACUUGGUAUCAGAUUGCUCAAACAAUGCAAAUACCAUUUUCUUAUGCCGAGGACAUCAUUGGGAUAGGAGGAGCUAAUAUUGCACAUAUUCGCCGCACUAGUGGAGCUGUCAUAACUGUGCAAGAGAGUAGGGGCAUGUCUGAUGAAAUAACUGUGGAAAUUAAAGGUACCUCAACACAGGUUCAAUUGGCUCAACAACUGAUUCAGGUACGAGGCUUUUGAGAUUGACUUAUUAGUUUAGACCCAACAAAAUUGAAUUCUUUGGCCCGCUAUGAGGGCUCUUUUCUUUUGGUAGUUCUCUUUAAAGGGUGUAUGCAUUAGAGAGGUACAUAUGAGGGGUGAUUAAAGUUUUUGGUUCAUGCAGGAAUUUAUGAGCAAUCACAAAGAUCCGGUAACAAGCGGCGACUAUAGAGACUCAAGUUAUAGGUCCUCGUACUCUCAGAUGGGGAGCACAUCUUCACUAUCAACACAACCCUAUGGCGGAUAUGGGGGAUCUUCUUCAAAUGUAGGUGGCUACCCUACUUUUAGGCUUUAAGGUCUUAUUCUAUCUGGGUGAUUUCGGGAUUGAGGUUGAGAUAGAGAAUGGUAGGCAUAGGAGUGCAGGAUCAGUCAGUUUGUGAGUGUUAGAAUAGAAUUUUUGUUGGGGGAGUAUUAUAAGUAAAAUUACUAGAGUUAUCACAUAUUCGUGCUUUCUUCUUCAUUCGAAGUAACGGUGAUACCAUAUGGGAGAAAGAUUGAAGAAAUAGAGUUUCAAUUCAAGCAGUUUGAGGCUGCGUAGAAGAUGAUUGGUAUAAACUAGUGGACACAUGUUUCUUAGUAUUAAGAUUUUUAGCUGAAAUUAUUAAAUACCACUCACUCAGUUAAUCAUUAAUUAGUUUUUUCUUAACAUAUUUGACGAGUUACCAUAAGCAACGCAUGGAUGGAAUUUAAUAUAAUAUUAUUUUUAGGGGAGAAAUUUUAUCCAUUUUUGAAACAAACUAAGUGCAUUCAUCCAAAAUUAUUUUUGCAUGGACCAGAUUUCCUAGACACCUAUCAUGAUAUUUCCAGAUGCGGUUCAUUGGCAUUUCAACAAGUUCAAAUACCACCGCCUACAAAAUCUAUCAUCAAACUUGUCUUCUCUGUCUGCAGCCCAAUUCUCAAGUUUGCAACCUUUUUCUUCUUUACAUAAAUAUAAUAUUUCAGAAUUUUAACAUGUCGUUUUAAAACCGACUUGAUUUAAGAAUUAAGAUACUACAAAGAAAUGGUUUUUUCUAAAAAAAAUUAUAAGGGAAUUGCUAGAGUGCUAUAAAAUGAAAAUUUUAAUAUUUUUUAACAUGGAAAAGUAAAAAAAUCAAAAAAACUUAAAACCGGACAGUGAUUAUCCAGAACUAAAGGCUAUUCUUUGUACAGGAUGACUAUAAUUCACCAUGCCCUGCUUUCUACUUUGCCCAUCCAAUAAGACAAAACUUUCAAAAAUAAGAUAUGAAUCUAUCUUUUUAUGCAAUAUAAAAUUAAUAAUUAAUUCAUUAUACAAAUAAUGAGGUUCAAAAGCAAGCUCGCAUUUUUGGAAUUUAAAUGGAUAACACGAAGACACUUGUUGUUGAAGCAAUAAAGAAAGAAGUAAAAUUGAUGUAUGUAAAAUAUCUUGGAAUGAAGGAAACGCUUCUGACCCUCAUCAACUCAAAAUAUCCUAUACCCAUUUCUUUUAAGAAAAAAAGGAUGACACUUUCUAGAGUCCCACCCAUUCUUUUACUUUGGUAGGAUAAAAAAAAAUUACUUUUCAUCCCUCAUGUACUCUUUCCUUUUUAUGUUUUACUCUUCUAUCCUACCUUUUUAUUAAAUUUUGUUAUUUAUAUAUAGUAUUCUCUAAAGAAGUGUGCUUAUCACCUCUUUCCAUUAGGAUCCAAUACCAUCUACACUUGGAGAUUUGAAAAAGAGGAGUGGGUGGCAGAUUAGGAAAUUUGAAAAAGGGAAUAUCAUAGAAAGAAAGAAAGAAAGGGGCAGAAUUGCAAAGGUGUCAAAAUUACAUAAUAGUUUGGUUGAUAUAAAUAAUCACAACGUUUGCUUAGCAUCUGCCACACAAAAGACGGCAAAAGACACCAAAAAGCCUCUAUCAAUGAUUGAUUACUUCUUACAUAUACUAUAUCUGUAUAUGAAAGAUGUCCAAAACCCUACCUCCUUACCUCGAGACACGUGAAAACGAUUAAAGGGCAUGCCACCUCAGCCCUAGAAAAUCUAGAGUACCCAAUCAGAGGAUGCCAGUGCCAUCUCAGCAGAUAAGACCCUUUUCAAAGAAUUUUGGACAACGUAUGGGGUAGCAUGCCACUUCCACCUUACCCUGCCCAUCUUUACCAUUACAUUACUCAAUUGCCCUUCAUUUUCCCUUUUCAAUUUCAUUCUUCUUCUUUAAAUCUAUGCAACGCAUCAACAAAUCCAAUCCAACCCAACCCUUAUGUUUUCAAAUUGAUUAGUUGUCCAAUAAAUUUUUGUAGCAAGAGUUAAUUUAUAUUUUGUCUUAUCUAUUUAGAAAAUAGAUAUAUUGAUUAUUAUAUGUUAAAUCAUCAAAUAUUUUUAUUUAUUUAUAUCGUUAAAAAUAGACAUGAUUGAUUAAUUUUUAAAAAUAAAAAAUAAAACUUUAAUAAAUAAAAUGUUUACUUUUUAAUCUAAUUAAUUUACCCCUUGAGAAAAUAAGGGUAAUUUUAUGGUUGAAUAGAUUUAAGAAGAAGAGGUCAGAAUGGUAAAAGAGCAAUAUGAAAUAAUUGAACAGUGAAAGUAAAAGGAGAGAGAGAGAGGAAGAGAAGGGGGGAGUGGUCCAGCAAGUGGGAGUGUGUGUCUUUUCCGUUGUUCCGAUGUGAUGUCAUGUGAGAUAGGAUGAUUCUCAUAUCUCAUAAUCAUCUAAUCAAUUUAAUUAAUUUGUGAAUUUUGAAGGGGUAAACAUAGAAGAGAAGAGUGGCCUGCCUGCCGCUGCCAGCCUGCGUAUAUCACUGACACCAUUAAAUUCAACUCCCCCCAAACGGUUCUUUCUCUCUCUUUUAUCUCUUCCUUUUUUCCACCUCGUGACCUACUGACUCUACUCUGCACUCCCUUCUUGUGCUACCCAAAAUCCCUUCUUCUUUUUAUAUAUAUAUAUUUAAAUAUCUCUUCUGUUCAGCUCAAAUUUUAGUAUUUUCGCAGACAUACCUUCCCUCUGUCUAUUGACACUUUUCAUUCCUUUUUUUCUCCAUAAAGCUAGGGUGCCUCUGCAUAUCUGGGUUUUUGUGAAUUUCAUUUUGUUUGGUUGGUCAAAACCAAUAGUAUUUUUAAACUAGGUAAGCUACUAUAUAGCCUUGUUGCUAAAAGAAUUCUUUUGUUUACUUUUAGGGUUGCCGUACCUGUUGGGUUCUUUUAUAUAUAUAUAUAUGUGUGUGUGGGUUUCUUCUUUGUAAUUGCAGUCUUUGUUAUCAAAUUUACAACAAAAAAGCCAAAGAAUUGUUUUAAUUAAUUAUGUAUAUAUAUAUUGUUAGUAGGAGAGACUCUACCAUUUUAUUUCUUAAAAUUGGUUUUGGCAUUUUCCUGGGCUUCUAUAAUAAUACUCCAACCAACCAGCAGGGUUUAGGGUUUUAAUUUGCACUUGUUUUCCAAAUGAGGAAACAGUUUGGGGGUCUGAAAGAAAGGUUAUAGUUUGGGCUACUUUUUCUUUUCUUUAUCUGAUUUGCUAAUACUAGAAUUAUGUUGCAGGUAUGAAAGUAGAGUGAAAGUUGAAAAAUCUCACUGGCGAGAGAUGAGUUCGUCGUGUUUAGGCAGGACGUAUGCUUUAGACCUUGAAAUAAUAAAAUCACCACCCACAUCAACCUCCUCCUCUUCUUCAACUCUCUCCGAUGCCAUCAAUUCCCCACUCGCCAUCUCCACCCGCAAACCCCG
Molecule: long non-coding RNA, 4606 nt
Filed under: Gossypium barbadense (sea-island cotton)
Lineage: Eukaryota; Viridiplantae; Streptophyta; Magnoliopsida; Malvales; Malvaceae
Description: long non-coding RNA (GBAR_LNC015890)
Source: RNAcentral